RNAcentral lists this long non-coding RNA (450 nucleotides) under Olea europaea (common olive). RNAcentral's name for it is "long non-coding RNA (OEUR_LNC004559)". Lineage: Eukaryota; Viridiplantae; Streptophyta; Magnoliopsida; Lamiales; Oleaceae. The record is from RNAcentral.
GUUGUUCUACCGUAGUGCCGUUCCUGCCGUUUUGAAGAAAUUGAAUUGAAGCUUGAAAGUACCUCUCUUACUUAUUGUGAGCUCGCUAUUUUUUUUCUUCCUGUAAUUUUAACCAUCAAAACUAUUAAGAACUCUACGAAGAAGGACGCAAAAAACAAAUUAGAUUGGUUUGCAUUAUUUUUUUUAAGUUAAAUGUCAUUAGUAAAAUUAAUGUAGUUUUGUAAAUGUUAAAAAAAAUUAGUUAUAGUAUAAAACCUGAAAAUCGAAUGGAAUCAAACUGAACCGAAUAAAAUCGAACACGAUGCUACCAAAAAUCGUACCUAAUGAUUUCCCGAGCUUGGCUAUCCUCAAUUAGCACGAUCGUAGUCUUCCGAUACUUGAAAAUAGGGCAACGAGGUAUGUUCUCAUCGCCCCUCCGAUUCUUCAAUUAGAAAGGGAAUUAUAUGCGUG